RNAcentral lists this non-coding RNA (172 nucleotides) under Candidatus Zhuqueibacterota. Lineage: Bacteria; Pseudomonadati. The record is from RNAcentral.
UAUAUAAUGAAUGUGUCAGGUGCUCUUUUGAGGUAAAAGGGAAAGUGGUGAAAAUCCACUGCUGUCAAGCAACUGUAAGCGGAUACGAAUGCCUUAUACCACCCGUAAAAGGGGAAGGUGGCAGGAGGUUUAAGCCGCAAGCCAGGAAACCUGCCUGAUAACGGAACCUGCU